UUAAAGUGACAAUGUGUAUUUUUCCUGGUGAUGGGGGCAGUAGAUACCUAAACUGUUUCAAGGAAGCUGUAUUUUGUGUUGGAGUAAGACCUUAACAACGUGUAGCCCAGUGUUUUACCAAGUUAUGGUGAAUUCCUACACUCUUCUGUCAUUUAAUGCACCAUGCCUAAGUCAUGUGACAUUGAUCACAUGAUCAAAGGCCUGCACUGGCUUCCUCCCUGCAGACAUGUGGGGGAAAGCCAAGUGACAGAGCUGUUGCAGGUCAGUACAUCAAAAACCAAAGCUUUUUCAUAAUGCAUUUGUUUGACAUUCACUAAGAUAUUACUUGACUCAGACACCGACAACUGUGAGCUGGAGCCUUGUAGGGUCAUCAUACACCAUACAGAAGCUGGAAUUGGCCAGGUGACCCUUUAAGGGUUUAAGGAUGGCGAGCUAACGAUUGGCCAGGGGCCAGAAGACCUCUCCUUCAUCUUCCUACUGGUCUGGUAGGAAGUUGUCUCAGACAACGCUCUGUCCACCCCCAACUCCUUAAUCAAUUCUUGGAUUCACACACCUCCCUUUUCAGUACUCUUUGACAAAGCGCUUGGAUAACUUUCAUGGACACUCGGAUCACAUCCUGGACAAUUAAUUCGGUGUGAAUUCAUUGGAUUUUCAAGUCCUGCAAAGGAGUGUUAACUAUUCAGGGGAUCAGACCGAAGUCAGAGUGUUCCUCUAGAACGUUCACUAGAACUAGAACUUUCAAAGUGCACUUUAACUUAUUUAUCAGUGCUGCAGCAGUGGAACCUGUUAAUUUGUGUUUGUUUAUUUUAUUUAUAAUUAUUCAAUAUAUUGUCUUUGCAAACUA
Non-coding RNA from Nothobranchius furzeri (turquoise killifish), 844 nucleotides. NCBI's taxonomy places the organism in Eukaryota, Metazoa, Chordata, Actinopteri, Cyprinodontiformes, Nothobranchiidae. The record is from RefSeq and is a predicted model, not a curated record.